This 497-nucleotide ribosomal RNA is filed under the name uncultured bacterium. RNAcentral describes it as "partial 16S ribosomal RNA". It matches the Rfam family "Bacterial small subunit ribosomal RNA", at positions 28 to 507 of the family's 1533-position model. The record is from RNAcentral.
GAUGAACGCUGGCGGCGUGCCUAAUACAUGCAAGUCGAGCGAACAGAUGAGGAGCUUGCUCCUCUGACGUUAGCGGCGGACGGGUGAGUAACACGUGGAUAACCUACCUAUAAGACUGGGAUAACUUCGGGAAACCGGAGCUAAUACCGGAUAAUAUAUUGAACCGCAUGGUUCAAUAGUGAAAGACGGUUUUGCUGUCACUUAUAGAUGGAUCCGCGCCGCAUUAGCUAGUUGGUAAGGUAACGGCUUACCAAGGCAACGAUGCGUAGCCGACCUGAGAGGGUGAGCGGCAACACGGGAGGUAAGACACGGUAAUGACGCCUAGGGGAAGAGGGAGUAGGGAAUCGUGGGCAAUGGGCGGAAGCCUGAAGGAGCAACGCGGCGUGAGUGAAGAAGGUCUUCGGAUCGUAAAGCUCUGUUAUUAGGGAAGAACAAAUGUGUAAGUAACUAUGCACGUCUGGACGGUACCUAAUCAGAAAGCCACGGCUAACUACGUG